GAUGAAGAACGUAGCGAAAUGCGAUAAGUAAUGUGAAUUGCAGAAUUCAGUGAAUCAUCGAAUCUUUGAACGCACAUUGCGCCCUCUGGUAUUCCGGGGGGCAUGCCUGUUCGAGCGUCAUUAUAACCACUCAAGCUCUCGCUUGGUAUUGGGGCUCGCGGUUCCGCGGCCCCUAAAAUCAGUGGCGGUGCCUGUCGGCUCUACGCGUAGUAAUACUCCUCGCGAUUGAGUCCGGUAGGUCUACUUGCCAGCAACCCCCAAUUUUUACAGGUUGACCUCGGAUCAGGUAGGGAGACCCGCUGAACUUAAGCAUAUCAAUAAGCGGAGGA
This 329-nucleotide unclassified non-coding RNA is filed under the name soil metagenome. Its description in RNAcentral is "partial contains 5.8S ribosomal RNA, internal transcribed spacer 2, and large subunit ribosomal RNA". The stretch from base 1 to 120 matches the Rfam family "5.8S ribosomal RNA", at positions 35 to 154 of the family's 154-position model. The record is from RNAcentral.